GUCAUUACAGUGGCAAAGUAAUUCCCAACUAACUUAAAGCAAUAAAUACAUAAUGCAUCUGUUGAGUUUUCCCACACGCGUUUAUACACGGCGUUGCAACUGCAAAGUUGUGCAGACUUCUGCCCAGUUCCAUGAAAUCAUGCAUCACGGUACGGCUCAUGAGAUGUUACGAGUCAUGGAUUUAUUUGCACGGAAUUGAAACGACGACUCCUGCUCGUCAACAGUCAUCCAAACUUUUUGCAUCAGUCGUUUCCUACGAGACAGUCAACUUCCAAGACAUAUCAUUCUAUAUAUAUAUAUAUAUAUACUUGUCUACCUUGAACGACUUUGAAUUGUCGUUACUUUCAAUGUUUUAAAAUCAUGUUAAAGAACAUAAAAUAAAAAAAAGUCUGAUUAACUGCAGGAAUGUCAUCUAUGAUAACCUAAAGGAAAAGUAGCAGGACAAGUGUUUAUAAGGGAGCAUUAAUAUGGAUGUUAAAAACAUAGGAGAGCAUUAAACCAUUUUCAAUAUGAAAAAAUUUUCUAUAAUAGAAUCGACACAUUAGAAAUGAUGCUUAUGAUUCAUUAUGUUUUGGCGGUGGCACGUAAGGAUGAUGUUUUAAGGUGCGUGGACACAGCAGGGGCUCAUAUAGUAAUCUGAGUUGGUUCAGUAUAUAAGAUCGCAUCUUAGAUCCAGUGUCAAAGAGUUUGUGCUUUGGCGAUGCCGACACGUUCUCUCAGAGUUGUUUACUCAGGGCUACCUCUAUUUCAUUCUUUAAACAAAAUUUAUUUUUUUAUGGACUAAGUUAUAUCAGGUGACGAAAAUCCCCUCUUUCAAGCUAAACACAAAAAACGUAGUUAUAAAACUAAUUAGUGUUUAGAAUAAAAAUAAGCAAAGCUCAAGAGAAUUAAAAAUCAAAUGUAAAUAAAAAUAUUUGAUUAUACGAAUGUAAUUUUUCGGACAAGAAAUUUGCAUUUUUUUAGAUACGAUUUCAAUAACUUGUAUUUUUAAUAUUAUCUUCCCACUAUCGGGUCAAAACUUCAGAAAAAAAUAAAUGUCGCAAAAAUACAAUAGAGAUCGAAGGUAAAAGCCCUAAACCUGAUCAGUAUCAUUAGUCGCUCACUUCAACUGCUAAAUGCGUUUUUAUAUUUAUAAUGAAAAAAAAAUCCUCGCACU
This is a long non-coding RNA of Microplitis mediator, 1156 nucleotides long. RefSeq lists it as uncharacterized. The transcript has 4 exons. Lineage: Eukaryota; Metazoa; Arthropoda; Insecta; Hymenoptera; Braconidae. The record is from RefSeq and is a predicted model, not a curated record.